This 176-nucleotide ribosomal RNA is filed under the name uncultured bacterium. RNAcentral's name for it is "partial 16S ribosomal RNA". It matches the Rfam family "Bacterial small subunit ribosomal RNA", at positions 338 to 527 of the family's 1533-position model. The record is from RNAcentral.
AUUACGGGAGGCAGCAGGGGGGAAUAUUGGACAAUGGGCCACAAGCCUGAUCCAGCAAUUCUGUGUGCACGAUGAAGGUCUUCGGAUCGUAAAGUGCUUUCAGUUGGGAAGAAGAAAGUGACGGUACCAACAGAAGAAGCGACGGCUAAAUACGUGCCAGCAGCCGCGGUAAUAAU